AUUGCCUUCUAUCAUACUAUUUAAUAUAUUCAAUAUAUUUUUACUGCCUUCGUUCUGCAGAUUUUGGAGAAGUUGGAGAAGUUAUUGCCUGUGAUGAUCACUAAAUCUCCUACUUAAAGCGGCUGUACAAGUUGAAACCACUUGGUUUGCCAGGUAAGUGUUAGUAAAUAUUCUGUUUACCACCUUUUCGAGAAUAAAUCUGCUGCGUAUUGUGCCAUCUUUCAGGUCGAUUUCAUCGCCGCAGGACUGUCGCAAAGUGUGGCCGGAGCUUACUUCCAUCCUGGCUCCCUUGCAGCAGAAGGUGUGGUGUUAUCGUCUCCGUCGUCUCGUCUUUCAGGGGUACGUAGGUGACAAGAUAAACUCGAUCUCGGCGAAGGUUGACAUCAGGAUUUCAUCCGUCGGUCGUCUAGGGAAAACGAACUGGUUUAGCACCGUCUUCAUCGAGCGGACUAAGUGCUCCCAGCAACCGCCAAAGUGUGGAGCGCCAGAGGGGUAGAUCGUCCACUUCAUUUUCGGUCCGCAAAAGGCUGUCAUAAGCGCGUUGUGGUCGAUCCUCUGUAUAUUUUCGUGCAGUUCCCUCGCAGCACCAACGAAGUUAGUGCCUCUAUAGCUCUAUGACGCUAAGUUCAGCGAUACCGCUACCUCUAAAUGAACUGCUCGGCUUGUAAGGCAGCUAUUGAUAAAGCAGGAUAAUGAAAUACAUACAAGUAUUUAUUAACUUCAUUAACCUAACUUUAAAAGAAGAGCCCUCGCACCUAAAGUAAUGUUUAUUCAAAAUGGCCGGAAACAUAGAUUGAAAAGGAAAUGUUACUCCAAUUGAAAGCUUUUGGGAUGUUUAUGAACUUCCAUCUUUCAGACUAUUUUUCAUAAAUCAUAGUGCA
Molecule: long non-coding RNA, 881 nt
Organism: Anopheles arabiensis
Lineage: Eukaryota; Metazoa; Arthropoda; Insecta; Diptera; Culicidae
Exons: 3
Source: RefSeq, a predicted model, not a curated record